This 90-nucleotide transfer RNA is filed under the name Desulfonauticus submarinus. RNAcentral describes it as "tRNA_Leu_TAA". It matches the Rfam family "tRNA". Rfam says of the family: Transfer RNA (tRNA) molecules are approximately 80 nucleotides in length. The record is from RNAcentral. Lineage: Bacteria; Pseudomonadati; Thermodesulfobacteriota; Desulfovibrionia; Desulfovibrionales; Desulfonauticaceae.
GCCCGGGUGGCGGAAUUUUGGUAGACGCAAGGGACUUAAAAUCCCUCGGUACAUUGUACCGUGCCAGUUCGAGUCUGGCCCCGGGCACCA